Molecule: long non-coding RNA, 493 nt
Organism: Thunnus maccoyii (southern bluefin tuna)
Lineage: Eukaryota; Metazoa; Chordata; Actinopteri; Scombriformes; Scombridae
Exons: 2
Source: RefSeq, a predicted model, not a curated record
GUGUCUGCACGGACCUAAUGCUGAUGGUGAUCUACUGCACAUGAAUGGAGUGUGUGCUACAGGCAGACCCCAGAAGGCUAGGUUUUUGAGACGCCCUGAAGAUACCGUGCCUUGGACCUUGGAUUCUGAAUUUGCUCCUUGAUGAAGAAGAUGGCAAGCCACUAUUUGUACUUCAUCUACCCGGAGGAAGACACCUUUCCUUCAUCCCCUUAUGUGGUGGUGUGGUGGGACUGUAUUACAAGGCCUGCGAUCCCUUUGCUUUUAUUACAGGGUGCACCCAGAACUAUAAACUGACCUCAGAACUACCAGAUCCAAAACUGGCUGAACCUGACCUAAACACUGAAUAGACUGACUACAACUAAGGACUGAUGAAACUUGAACAUAACAAAGAACUGAACUUUGUUACACCAUAAGGGACAUUGCUUUAGAGGAACUAAAGACGUCUACUGUACAUGGUUUAUUAAAAUUGGUUAUUAAAGUUGAAUUGGUUUAA